Molecule: long non-coding RNA, 862 nt
Organism: Oncorhynchus tshawytscha (Chinook salmon)
Lineage: Eukaryota; Metazoa; Chordata; Actinopteri; Salmoniformes; Salmonidae
Source: Ensembl
GCGAACGCUCGGAGCCAGCAGCAAACUAGCCAUUUCAUCGUUUAUUUUUGUCGUAAGCAUUGGCUUACUUGUGAAGAUUGUUUCGUUUUAUCCUAAAGACUGUUUGGAGUUUGUCUGCCUUGGAUUACGGAUAUUACACAUUUCCCUGUAUUAAACAUUAACUGUGCUAGCUAGCUAAACAUUUUAUUUGUGCGACGACAGCUGUCAUUUGGAGAAGGAAAAGUGAUCCGUCAUGCGUGAGAAAUUAAGCUGAUUUCUACUGGAUUUACAUUUUAACAUCCUUCAAAUGGGCGACGUUAACGUUCAAUAUUUGAGAACUGCGGUGGUAUUGCCUUAGUAACUAGUGUGGCCACCUAGCUUGCUACUUAUACUUAUCGUUGGACAGAAGACAGCUAGUUAGCUGGCUAUAUCAUUCAUUCAGCCUCAUAAAUACACUAACUACAAAGUGAUAUAACUAUAGCAAUAUCGCUUACAAUUUUGGACAUGAAGAAAAUAACCUACUAUUCAUAGGGUUGAAAGAAUGUCAUCAGAGGAUAAGACUGUGGAGCCCUCUGACCAGGGACCCUCGCUGCCCUCUGUUAGUGCAGGGGCCACGUCCACAGGAAGCCCUGCCCAGACAGACAAGCGCCCCAGGGGCAGACCACGCAAGGAUGCUACCACCACCAUCGUACCCCAGGCUCUACCCACAACUACAUCCAAGACCAGGAAGAAGGGGCGUACCAGAGGUAGAGUGGUUGUGGAGGAGGAGGACAGCAGCAUGGACGGGACAGAGGCAGCCGCUUCAGAGAGCCCCCUCAGGACACAACAGGUCGCAGUUGCAAAUGAGAACUUGUUCUCAACUAGCCUACCUGGUUGAAUAAAG